Molecule: non-coding RNA, 80 nt
Organism: Cordylochernes scorpioides
Lineage: Eukaryota; Metazoa; Arthropoda; Arachnida; Pseudoscorpiones; Chernetidae
Source: the annotation of a GenBank genome assembly
AAAGUACCUAAUGCAGGAAUUGAACCUGGGUCCUAGUGGUUGAAAACCAACAGUUUAGACCAUCCUUCCACCAUGUACUC